RNAcentral lists this ribosomal RNA (284 nucleotides) under Poecilia reticulata (guppy). Its description in RNAcentral is "partial 16S ribosomal RNA". It matches the Rfam family "Bacterial large subunit ribosomal RNA", at positions 2249 to 2591 of the family's 2925-position model. Lineage: Eukaryota; Metazoa; Chordata; Actinopteri; Cyprinodontiformes; Poeciliidae. The record is from RNAcentral.
GAACCCUGUCGUAAUGUCUUUGGUUGGGGCGACCCCGGGAAAAUAAAAAACCCCCGAACGGAAUGAAGAAAUUUAAACUUCAUAAACAAGAGCCACAGCUCACAAAAUCAGAACUUCUGACCCAAAGAUCCGAUAUAAUCGAUCAACGGACCGAGUUACCCUAGGGAUAACAGCGCAAUCCUCUUUAAGAGCCCCUAUCGACAAGAGGGUUUACGACCUCGAUGUUGGAUCAGGACAUCCUAAUGGUGCAGCCGCUAUUAAGGGUUCGUUUGUUCAACGAUUAA